CGCCUUCAUGCUUAUCCAUCUUGUGCGCCACUUAUCAUACACGAGAAAGAGUUUCUCAUGAAAUCUUUCCAUGCACAAAGCAGCCACGCCCCUUCUCUUGUCACGUCUAGAGUAGAUAGGGAUGAGUUGGUUUGCAUUUGAAUUCAAAUUCGAUUUGAAUUCAAAUGUGCAACCACUUAUCUUUAUCCUCUCACGCGGAUAAGACACGUCUUG
This 213-nucleotide long non-coding RNA is filed under the name Elaeis guineensis (African oil palm). Its description in RNAcentral is "long non-coding RNA (EGUI_LNC078505)". Lineage: Eukaryota; Viridiplantae; Streptophyta; Magnoliopsida; Arecales; Arecaceae. The record is from RNAcentral.